Molecule: long non-coding RNA, 5505 nt
Organism: Aedes albopictus (Asian tiger mosquito)
Lineage: Eukaryota; Metazoa; Arthropoda; Insecta; Diptera; Culicidae
Exons: 9
Source: RefSeq, a predicted model, not a curated record
AUUAUCAAUACACUUAAAAACGUUGAGUUAGAUGCUGCGAUCAGGGUUUACAAGAAAAGUUAUUAAUCAUCCAAAAUCGUGUCGUGCCAUAAACGAUAAAGUUGUAUCAAAUUGAAAAACUAGAAAUCAUAAAAUGUAUAGUGAAACCUCAUAUCUUUGUUCUUAAUGGAAAAAAAUGUCUGUUGUAGUGCGAAAGAGAGAGAAAAAAAAUUAAAUUAUUUCGUUCAAAGCUAUUUCUAAAAAAUAUGCAAUGUAUAUCGAAAAAUUUUCACCGAAUCGUACACACAUUUGACAUUAUUACAAAUUUCGUUGCAGUUGUCUGUCCAGAGGAAAUUUCCUUUGUAUUGAAUUACCGAGGUACGCAGAACAUGGUGAUUCGGAACCACUUCUUCGUUCGCAACAAAAUUUCCCAACGGUAUCUUUUCUGGAACUGUGCCCAGAAGAAAGCUCUAGGCUGUCGCGUUCGAGCUACAAUGCCACGCCCACCCAACAAAGGACCUGUCAUAUGCCGAGGGGAACACAAUCCCGAAGUGGUUUCCGAACGACGAAAGCAUGGCGCUCUCAGAGAAUUACUGAACAAACGAAAGCAAGAUAAAGAUCAGUCGAGGGCAAAGAGAUGCAGAAAAUAGAGAAUAAAUAAAAUUGAGUUGAAAGUGCUUAUAUUAUGUCUCUCUAGAUUUAAAUAUCUUAAUUUUUCAUAUAGGAGAUUCAUUAUGUAUUGAUGUAUUACAGAUAACUAUAUCAGCGAUAAUGCAUCCGAAAUGGAUAUAUGCUACAUGGUGACAGCUCGUGGAAAAACUCAGCUGGUUGUGGAAGGAUAUCCGUUUACCAAACUCAACGAACGGGCUCAUAUGACGUUCUGGGCGUGCUGUCAAGCUAGACCCUUGAAUUGCAAAGCCCGGGCCACAACAUAUCGCGCUUCGAGGGAUGGAAAAAUCACGUUCAGAGGAGAGCAUAACCAUGGCAAAAUCCAUGAACGGCGCAAAGCGGGUGCGCUCAGAAAACUACUCGAGCAACGUGACAAAGAAAAAGCUCGUCAAAAAAUGUUGAAGUCAGUGGGGAUUGUCUAUGAAUAAAUGAGCCACAUGAAAUGAUGCUAUUUUUGUCUAUCGUGAAGUAAAAAUGGCAUCAUUGCUUGAUUCUAAAUGUCAUAAGUAAUGUUGCCAAAUAUUCAAAUCUGAUUUGAAUGCUGAACAAUAAAUGAAAACUAUCAUUUAGAUCGGAUCAACGUCCUAACUCAUUGUUUUUGUGUGAAUAUUUUCAGGCGAUCUACUACAAUCAGUGGAAGACUAUAGUCAAGUUCAAACCGAAUUUGAAAUGCCACAUCCGGAGAUGGCUGGAGUGUCUGUACUGUAUAAGCGUAAUCCAGUCGAAAUAAUAGGCGACGAAAAACAUGCUAUAGACCCCAGCAAAGACGUCAGCUUCGUAUUGCAAGGCAACCGUCGCAAACUGUAUGUCAAAGACCACUGCUACUACCGGAAACACACUUUGAAAAAUCACACACAGUGGCGUUGCACUGAAUACAGAGCCUACGGGUGCCUAGCUUCGGUGAAGGUCUCGCGAAACGGAUUACAAAUGACUCUCCAAGGAGUGCACGACCAUCCCUUCAAGAAGGAGCAUCGUCGAGAAGGCCAGCUGAGAGAACUUAUGGAAAAACGAAAGCAAACGGUUAACGAACGAAAGCAACAGCGCCGAAAGUAAACUUGUAACAACAUUGAAUCAAAUAUACUUACCCUUUUGAAUAAUUUUAAUCUUGUUUGAAUGUUUCUGCGUGUAGCUUUUUGAUCUGCAAGUGCUGCCAUCAUUCACUGUUGGUUCAAUUUCAGAGCUGCCGAAGUCGUUUUUCGUUUUGAGUGGCCGAGGAAAUCUCCAACUGUCGAUCGACGGAUACGUGUUCACGCAAGAGCUGGUCAAGAACAACGACAUAGAUUGGGCUUGUUCGCAAUCAAAAGUUUUGCGCUGUAAAGUUCGCGCGACGACAUCUCGUGGGAAAGAUCGCAAGGUGCUCUCAAUUCGAGGCGAACACAAUCACGGGAUAAUUACUGAACGUCGGAAAAGCGGUGCCUUGAAGGCUCUGCUGGAACAACGCAAGAAAGAGCGCGAUGAACGACGAAUGAGAUUGGGUGGAGUCUUUUCACCAGCAGUCUAGAAAAAUAUGUUUGAUUAACAGUGCGAGAAUAUUAUGAACUUUAUAAUCUGAUUUCAGUAAUAGAUUUGUUGGUGGUUUCACCUCUCCUUAACUAUUUUGACAAUCUCAAUAAACAAUUUGUCAUUUUAAAUGAGCGUGAAAAGGUUACCAAAGAGUUGCGACGAAAAUGAUUUAGUAUUGUGCAACUGGUAGUAAAUCCUUUGAAAAUGUCAAGACUAAUACAAUUGAUUGAUUGUUGUACUAGAAUACGUUUGCAUUAUUUUCGUUUUUCAGUGUUUUACACGGAUGAACUAAUCUUCAAUGCGCUAUUUGUAUGCGAUCUGCAUUCUAGGGAUGGUGACGUACACUACAAGCCGUCGAGGUCGUCGACAGAUCUGCUACUUCGGACACUCAUUCGAGAUGGAAAAGGAACGGAAAGGGUCCACUAGCUGGCGGUGCGGUCAGGCAAAGCCUCUUAAAUGCAAGGCCAGAAUUAUCGAGCGCAUUUCAAAGUACGGCGACCCAAUGUAUGAAAUUGUGCGUUCGACGCAUAAUCACGACAUUAUAACUGAGAGGAGGCCACGAGGGUGGUUGAAAGAUUAUAAUGAGCUAUCAAUAAUGAAAAAAGAAGAACAAUAAAUUCACAGUUCCUUGGCAUGUAAUCUAGUACUACUUUUUGGAAUUAAAUUGUUACAAUGGACUCAAGUAGUACAUCACUACAAACCUAUUUUGGCGAGUAAUCUAGUACAACCCAUCUACAUAAUUUAGAACUAUUUCGGCUGGCUAUAAAGACCUGAAAUUACAAUCUAGUACAACUAUACAGCUCAAUGUAUAUUCCAAUAGCAACAAAAUAAUCAACUUUUGUACUAUUAUAGGACACUGUUACGGUUCGGCGGAGUACUCAAUCAGCCUCAAAGGCUCCCUGCAGUUGAUGGUGCAGGGAUUUCCGUACACUCGCCAUAGCUGCAAGGGCGGCAAGGUCUACUGGCGGUACGUGCAGUUCAAGUCACUUGGUUGUCGGUCUAGGGUUCGUACUCACCAGGAGCUGAUCGAGUCGAUAGAGCACGAACACAAUCACGAUCGAAUGUUGGCCAGGCGUAAACGAGGAGCUUUGAAGCAGUUGAUGCAAGAGAGGAAGCGCGAGAAAUCUCUUGUUGCACUGGAUCAGUGUGACUUGGUUGAACUUGACUGGGUUGAAUAAAAGUUUCUGUUGCUAGAUGACCUUGCUGGAUUGUUAAUGUCAAUAAUAACUCUGAAAAAAAAGUGUGACUGCAGAAUGUGAUUGAGUUUUGUCUUUCAGAACCCGUCUCAUUGAUACAGGUGAUAGCUGUAGUACCAGACGAAGCGGAACCUCAUCCCUAUAGCUAUAACUAUCGUGGAAAUCUUGUGUAUGAUAAAUACACCUUUUCCAAAACGGCGGCUCACGGGACGGGCAACAUUGUCUACUGGAGGUGCACGGGCUAUCGUAAGCAUAAGUGUAGAGCUACAUUGAAAACGCGAGGCAAGGAGUUGAUCGUGGUUCGCCAGGACCAUAACCAUGAGCCCUUCGUGAAGGGAAGCGUUUUCACUUCCGAUUUGCCAAUUUGGAAGGAAACAACGGGAUCUAACGCUCCUUGAAAUUUACCGUUUGACUUUUUGCUAUGAGGCCACAUUGGAAUUUACCUAAUAAUAAUUACAAGAACAAUACAUUACAUUUUUGCAAACAAUAAUCUUCAUUGUUUUUGUACCAUACCAUUAAUAUAAUCUUGCGUUCUAGUACUACACAACUUCAUACUAACGUUACAUUUGUAUUCCUCCAGGGAAACUUCUGUCGAUUUCGACAAUGCCGCUCAUAUUGAAAAAGAUCAAAGUCAAGCGUACAAAACCGCCAUCUCCGUUGAAAUCAGUCCCCGCAAUGAAUGCCCCAUCUGAACGUCCGACCGUGGUAAGCGCCGAUCCGGAUCAACUACUAAGGCUGGACAACAGUACAAUUUCCAAAGACAAUAUCGUCAAGCAGCUAUCGAACGGCCAUGCUCUAGUACUGCUGAAGAGGACACGCGUCAAAGGUUUUUGUGUGAGCUGUAUUCGUUCCAUGCAGGAUCCGGAGUACAAGAAGAAGUUGAGCAAAAUUAUUACCUACUGCUCGGGAUGCCCCGGUGGGCAGUGGAUCUGUGAAGCGUGCUUUGAUUCCAGUCACGAUAUAAAGAACUAAAUGAAUAAAAAUUUAGAUUAUCUAGCUACUAUUGAUUGUUAUUUCUUAUUCUUAUUAUUGUUUAUCAAUACUUUUCAAACUAACAGAAUUCCGAUCAUUUUCAGGUAAAGCUCUGUUCCAGAUCGGCAACCGAAACUCGCUGAAGCUUUUCUACAGCGGACACUUCUACACAAGGUCCUACACGGCGGAAAAAUCAAGCAAGUGGGUCUGCGACAGGAAAAACAUGCUCAAAUGCAAAGCUCGAAUACGCCUGAACCGAGACAAAACUUGUGACGUGCUGAACGCCAAUCACAACCAUCCGGCUCGAAACCCUAGAACUAUCGGAAUGCUGAUCGAUUUCACCGAUCGAGAUUUGAGCACCAUGCUCCAGAAGGAUACCGUCAAAGAAUCUCCCAAUCCCAAUCGUUGCGGAAUAACUAAAAUGAAAAUAUAAUGAAUGAAUCAACCAACAUUUUUAACUGUCCACAUUCUAUUACUUCAUCUCACGAAUCGUAGCAUGACACUUCACUAAAACCUCUCCUUGACUUUUUGUUCCAGUGCACAAGAUCAUGAAACUACAGAAACGACUCUACUACCUCAAAAAGGUGUCCGGAGAGUUUGUUCAACACGGAGAAAAUCCAGUUUCUUCGCAGAUUGAGUACUUGCAACGCGAUCUGGAUGUGCUUACGGGGACUCUACCGAAAAUGGAGAACGCUCCAGCAUGUAAGCCAUCUUCCGUUCCGGGAUUCGACUUCCCUCUGACCGAGCAGGAGGAAAUUGAACGCUUGGAGACGGAGGUACGAAACGAUCCGUAUGUCCGGUGCCAAUAUGUGAACUAUCUUAUCAACAAAAAGCCAGCGCCGAUGAAUCUAAUACAGUUCCUACCACUGGUGUUUUCCGAUGAGGCCCUUAUUGCCUACAACUAUCAUGGUUCGCAUGCUUCCGGAAAAUCUAAGCAUUCGAUGAAGGCGUACACCAUUUUUUCGGAAUGCUUUUUGGAGGCUUUCGAAGGAGAAGGAUUGGAUAUGGACACAUUGACCAAGCAGCUGGUAAUGGCCAUCAAACAGAGCCGGAACCGUAUGCGGCAACGUACAUUCCGAGCGAAGAAAACGCUACAACGAAUCAGCAGCGACAAGGGUUCUGAGUGAUUAGUGUGGAAUGCGAUGUUCUUGCUUUCUGAAUUUGAAUAAAGAUACGAAAAAGUGAA